CUGGCUCAGGAUGAACGCUGGCGGCGUGCUUAACACAUGCAAGUCGAACGAAGCAGUUUAUCAC
RNAcentral lists this ribosomal RNA (64 nucleotides) under Pseudobutyrivibrio sp. ACV-2. RNAcentral's name for it is "16S rRNA. Bacterial SSU". The record is from RNAcentral. Lineage: Bacteria; Bacillati; Bacillota; Clostridia; Lachnospirales; Lachnospiraceae.